Molecule: long non-coding RNA, 4168 nt
Organism: Dama dama (fallow deer)
Lineage: Eukaryota; Metazoa; Chordata; Mammalia; Artiodactyla; Cervidae
Exons: 5
Source: RefSeq, a predicted model, not a curated record
GACCUCGCGGCGCGGGCGGCGAAGCACCCUCAAUCAUAUCAUGCGCGCGGCAGACCCUCCAGUCCGAAGGCAAGGUCAACAACGCCACCAGCUUCCCCUUUUCGGAAAGAAUGGUACUGAGGGUCUAGCGCACCCUCGCCAGCCCGACCCACCUGCUGCAGCCCCUUCGGGGGUCGCGUGGACCACUUCCCCUCUGCCGCUGGGGCCUCUGCUUCUCCCUCUCGUGUCUCCUUGUCGCCCUGCGCCCUGACACCCCGUAGCGGGGAGGAAGGAAAGUUGGUGAGAGUAAACUAGUUAUGACCCAUAUCAUGACUAACAACUGACACACAAUGGUGGCCGUAUGUGUGGAAGAAAACAAAGAGUAGAACAAAGCUGCUGGAUUGAGCCAUCUGAGGAAGACAGUCUUUAUUCAAAGUUUCCAGAAGAGAAGAUGAGGUGCCUAGAAGAUGAGUUUUUCAAGAUCGCAUGGUAAUGGAUACAGCUGGGACUCAAAUGCAAGGUUGUCUGACCCUAGGGCCCUUAAUGUCUGCUAGAAUGAACUAGUAGGCAAUCAAUAACUGAUCCAUGACGUGGGAAUUGCCUGAUGUGCAUCAGAAACUUCCAGCUCAAUGCCUAGGAAUUAUCUGACCACUAAAAAGACAAACAGCAGAUUCUUUACUGUCUGAGCCACCAUGGAAGCCCAUUGAUGCUUUUGAGUUGUGUUGCUGAAGAAGACUCUUGAGAGUUCCUUGGACUAAAAGGAGAUCAAGCCAUUCAAUCCUAAAGGAAACCAACCCUGAAUAAUCAUUGGAAGGACUAUUGCUGAAGCUGAAACUCCAAUAAUUUGUCCUCUUUAUGCCAAGAGUUGAAAGACCCUGAUGCUGGGAAAGACUGAAGACAGGAGAAGGGGGUGGAAGGGGAUGAGAUGCUUAGAUAUUGUCACUGACUCAAUGAACAUGAAUUUGAGCAAGUUCUGGGAGCUAGUGGAGGACAGAGGACCCUGGAGUGUUACCAUGGGGUCACAAACAGUUGAACACUACUUAGGGACUGAACAACAACAUAAAAUGUAUGUAUGUGUGUGCUAAGGUGCUUCAGUCAUGUCUGUCUCUGUGCGACCGUAUGGACUGUACCCCACCAGGCUCCUCUGUCCACGGGAUCCUCCAGGCGAGAAUACUGGAGCGGGUUGCCAUUUCCUCCUCCAGGGUAUCAGAGCUGCAUCUCUUACAUCUCCUGCAUUGGCAAGUGGGUUCUUUACCACUAGCGCCACCUGAGAAGCCCAAAAUAUAUGUACAUUUAAUGUUAAACAUAAUAUUUAAUGCUUUAAUUUUUUGAGGUGAAAUGCGCAUAACAUGAAAUUCAUUGUUUUAUAGCAAAUAAUUAAAUGACAUUUAGUAUAUUCAUAGUAUUGUGCAGCCACAACCUAUAACUAGUUCUAAAAUAUUUUCUACAUCCUCAAAAAAACCCAUUUAUCCACUAAACAGUUAUUUUCCAUGCUCCCCUUUCUCCUAUCCCCUAGCAACCACUCAUUUGCUUUCUGUCUCAAUGAAUUAACCUAUUCAGCAUAUGUUCUAUAAAUAGAAUCAUACAAUAUGUAACUUUUUUUAUCCAGCUUCUUUCACUUAUCAUAACAUUUUCAAGUUUCAUCCAGGCCGUAGCCUAUACUCUGUUCCUUUUUAUGGUUGAAUCCCUUGUAUGCAUAAAUCACAAUUUGUUUAUCCAUUCAUUCGCUAUUGGACACUUGGCUUGGUUGCUUCCCAUUUUUUAAAAUUGUGGUGAAAAACACAAGGUCAAAUCACUAUCUUAGCCAUUUUUUAGUGUAUAAUGCUGUAGUAAUUAACUAUGUGCAUAUUUUAGUACAAUAGAUCUCUGGAACUAUUUCAUCUUGCAAAACUAAAACUCUAUCUAUUGAACAAGUAUUCAUUUCCCUCUUCGCCCAUCUCCUGGUGACCACAUUCUAUUUUCUGUUUCAAGUUUGACUAAAUGAGGUAUCUCACAUAAAUGGAAUCAUGCUGUAUUGUCUUUUUUUUGUGACUAACUUAUUUCACUUAGCAUAGUGUCCUCAGAGUUCAUCCAUGUUGUAUAUGACAAGAUUUCCUUCUUUUUUAAGACUAGCAUGCCAUUGUGUGUGUGUGUGUGUAUACAUUUUUUUUUAAUCCUUUCAUUUGUUUCUGGACAUUAAGGUUGCUUCUACUUUGUGGCCAUUGUGUUUAAUGCUGCAGUGAACAUGGGUAUGUAAAUAUCUCUUUGUGAUCCUGUUGGAUAUAUAACAAGAGGUGGGAUUGCUGGAUCAUAUGGUAAUUAUAUUUUUAAUUUUUUUAGGAAACUCCUUACUGUUUUCCAUAGUAGUUACACCAUUUUACAUUUCUACCAACCCCAUGUACAGAGGUUCCAAUUUCUCCACACCCUUGCUUGUUCUUUUCUUUCUUUCUCUAAUUUUUUUUAAGUGGGUAGGUAUGAGGUGAUAUCUCAUUGUGAUUUGCAUUUCUAUGCUUAUUGAUAUGCAUACUCAGUGACCUUGAGUAUUUUUUCAUCUGCUUUUGGCAAUUUGUUUAUCUUCUUUGAGAAAUACCUAUUUAAGUUCUUUGCUCAUUUAAAAAAUCAGGUUGUUUAUCUUUUUGUUGUUGUGUUAUAGUACCUUUUUAUAUAUUAUGGUUGUCAAAAUAUAUGGUUUGCAAAUAUUUUCUCCCAUCUGUAGAUUGCCUUUUUACUCUGUUGAUUGUUUCCUUUGCUGUGCAGAAGUUUUUAAGUUUAAUGUACUUCCAGUUGUGUAUUUUUGGUUUUGCUGCCUAUGCUUUUGCUGCCAUAUUCAAGAAAUAAUUGCCCGAUCCAGUAUCAUGAAAUUUUUCUCUAUGUUUUCUUUUAGUAAUUUUAAAAUUUCAAGUCUAUGUUUAGGUCCUUAAUCCAUUUUGAGUUUAUUUUUGUCUAUGUUUAAGGUAAGGAUCCAACUUCACUCUUUUGCAGAUAGAGAUCCAGUAUUUUCAAUACCACGACUAUCCUUUCUCUGCUGUGAGGAUUCGGGGCCCUUGUUGAAGAUCAUUUGACCUUACACAUGAGGAUUUAUUUCUGGGUUCUCUAUUCUGUUCACUGGUGAAUACAUUUAUUUUAAUGUCAGUACCUUACUGCUUGGGCUUCCCAGUUAGUACUAGCGCUAAAGGACUCGCCUGCCAGUGCAGGAGAUACAAGAGACACGGAUUCAGUCUCUAGGUCGGGAAGAUCCCCUGAAGGAGAACAUGGCAACCCACUCCAGUUUACUUGCCUGGAGAACCCCAUGGAUAGAGGAGCCUGGCGGGCUACAGUCCAUAGGGUUGCACAGAGCUGAACACAACUGAAGUGACUUUGCACGCGUGCACACACCAUACUGUUUUGGUUUUUUUUUUAACACCAUACUGUUUUGAUUUGUAAUGUUUUGAAAUCAGGAAAUGCUGGGGCCUUAGGAUUUGUUCUUUCUCAGGAUUGUUUGGCUGUUUGGAGUCAUUUGCAGUUCCAGAUAAAUUUGCAUUUUUUUUAAAUUUAUACAAAAGAUGCCAUUGGGAUUUUGAUAGGGAUUCCAUUAAAUUAUAGAUCACUUUGGAUAGUAUGGACAUUUAAAAAAUAUUAAAAGUCUUCCAGUCAAUGAACAUGGACUGCAUUUCCACUCAUUUGUAUCGUCUUUCUUUCUUUCAGCAAUGUUUUAUAGUCUACAGUGUACAAGUCUUUCACUUCCUUGGUUAAGUUUAUUCCAAAAUAUUUAAUUGUUUUGAUGCUAUUGUAAAUUUGAUUUUUUAAAAUUUCCUUUAUAGAUUGUUCAUUGUUAAUAUAUAAAAACACAACCAAUUUUUUUGUGUUGAUUUUGUAUCCUUCAACUUUGCUGAAUUCAUUUAUUAGUUUUAACAGGUUUUUCUUUGUAGAAUCUUUAGGAUUUUCUGUGUAUAAGAACAUAUCAUUUGCAAACAGAUGAUUUGACUUCUUCCUUUUCAAAUUAGAUGACUUUUACUUCUUUUCUUUUGCCUAAUUGCUGUGGCGAGGACUUCCGGUGCAGUGUUAAAUAAAAGUUGUGAGAGUGAGCAUCCUUGCCUUGUUCCUCAUCUUAGAGAGAAAUGUUCCAGUUUUUCACUAUUGAGUAUGAUUUUAGAUGUGGGUAUUUCAUCUAUGGCCUGUGUUAUUUUGAGGUAAUUUCCUCCCAUUCCUCAUUUGUUGAGUGUUUUUUUUA